RNAcentral lists this long non-coding RNA (260 nucleotides) under Salvia miltiorrhiza (redroot sage). Its description in RNAcentral is "long non-coding RNA (SMIL_LNC000374)". The record is from RNAcentral. Lineage: Eukaryota; Viridiplantae; Streptophyta; Magnoliopsida; Lamiales; Lamiaceae.
UCUCAAGAACUCCGGCCUCAAUUAUAAAGGUUUUAUAUAGAUAGGGAAGGGUUAGUCUAUGUAUAUAUAUGAAAUAGAAACCAUGGCCAAUUCGUAAAUCGUGAAGAUUUAAUAUGAAUUCAUCACUUUAUUGAAUGAAUUUGUAGUAUUGGUGGGUUCGAAACUCUAGUAGUGAAAAUUUCAAUUUUUUUUUUUGAAUUCCUUACUUCACACCUUAAAUUCAUUAUAUUUCAUAGCAAGAUCAUAUUGUUUAAUAGGAA